This 521-nucleotide ribosomal RNA is filed under the name marine sediment bacterium ISA-3081. RNAcentral's name for it is "bacterial SSU rRNA". It matches the Rfam family "Bacterial small subunit ribosomal RNA", at positions 8 to 526 of the family's 1533-position model. The record is from RNAcentral.
AGAGUUUGAUCAUGGCUCAGAUUGAACGCUGGCGGCAGGCCUAACACAUGCAAGUCGAGCGGUAACAUUUCUAGCUUGCUAGAAGAUGACGAGCGGCGGACGGGUGAGUAAUGCUUGGGAACAUGCCUUGAGGUGGGGGACAACCGUUGGAAACGACGGCUAAUACCGCAUGAUGUCUACGGACCAAAGGGGGCUUCGGCUCUCGCCUUUAGAUUGGCCCAAGUGGGAUUAGCUAGUUGGUGAGGUAAUGGCUCACCAAGGCGACGAUCCCUAGCUGGUUUGAGAGGAUGAUCAGCCACACUGGAACUGAGACACGGUCCAGACUCCUACGGGAGGCAGCAGUGGGGAAUAUUGCACAAUGGGCGCAAGCCUGAUGCAGCCAUGCCGCGUGUGUGAAGAAGGCCUUCGGGUUGUAAAGCACUUUCAGUCAGGAGGAAAGGUUAGUAGUUAAUACCUGCUAGCUGUGACGUUACUGACAGAAGAAGCACCGGCUAACUCCGUGCCAGCAGCCGCGGUAAUAC